Long non-coding RNA from Leptonychotes weddellii (Weddell seal), 480 nucleotides. RefSeq lists it as uncharacterized. The record is from RefSeq and is a predicted model, not a curated record. NCBI's taxonomy places the organism in Eukaryota, Metazoa, Chordata, Mammalia, Carnivora, Phocidae.
UUCACCAGCUUCUUCCCGGCAACACUAUACUACUUAUAUAAGAAAGUGACCUACAGAAGCAGGAUGGCCAUAUAUAAGAUGCAUCCUGGAGUAUUUAAGGGUGAAGUGCCAUGCUGCCUACUUGUGAGGUUUAUAGAGUGUGAAGACUGGGUUGGAUGGCCAAAGUGGAUUGAGCACAGACCAAGUAGACAAGUAUAGCUGGACUUCAGAGACCUCUGUUCUGUGAUAAACCCUGCCAUAGGUUGUGGACUGCCUCUGACUCUGGACUGAACCAUGUGAGCCAGUGCCACAGAAAGAUGUACCAUACACAAAGAAGAUAGAGAAAACAAUAAGGUCAGGGUCAAAAACCAAGAUUCACAAAAUUAGCAGAGGAUGUGAGAAGUGUAUUAUGGUGGAGGAAAUUAAUUCUAUUCCCAAAUACUAGAAAACUCAAAGUUAAAAAGGUAGGGGCGCUUGGGUGGCUCAGUCGUUAAGCGUCUG